AUACGUAGGUGGCAAGCGUUGUCCGGAUUUAUUGGGCGUAAAGCGCGCGCAGGCGGUCUCUUAAGUCUGAUGUGAAAUCUUGCGGCUCAACCGCAAGCGGUCAUUGGAAACUGGGAGACUUGAGUACAGAAGAGGAGAGUGGAAUUCCACGUGUAGCGGUGAAAUGCGUAGAGAUGUGGAGGAACACCAGUGGCGAAGGCGACUCUCUGGUCUGUAACUGACGCUGAGGCGCGAAAGCGUGGGGAGCAAACAGGAUUAGAUACCCUGGUAGUCCACGCCGUAAACGAUGAGUGCUAGGUGUUAGGGGUUUCGAUGCCCUUAGUGCCGAAGUAAACACAUUAAGCACUCCGCCUGGGGAGUACGGCCGCAAGGCUGAA
RNAcentral lists this ribosomal RNA (377 nucleotides) under uncultured bacterium. RNAcentral's name for it is "bacterial SSU rRNA". It matches the Rfam family "Bacterial small subunit ribosomal RNA", at positions 523 to 898 of the family's 1533-position model. The record is from RNAcentral.